RNAcentral lists this ribosomal RNA (253 nucleotides) under uncultured bacterium. RNAcentral describes it as "partial 16S ribosomal RNA". It matches the Rfam family "Bacterial small subunit ribosomal RNA", at positions 524 to 776 of the family's 1533-position model. The record is from RNAcentral.
UACAGAGGGUGCGAGCGUUGUUCGGAAUUACUGGGCGUAAAGCGUGCGCAGGCGGCUUUGCAAGACAGAUGUGAAAUCCCCGGGCUUAACCUGGGAACUGCAUUUGUGACUGCAUGGCUGGAGUGCGGCAGAGGGGGAUGGAAUUCCGCGUGUAGCAGUGAAAUGCGUAGAUAUGCGGAGGAACACCGAUGGCGAAGGCAAUCCCCUGGGCCUGCACUGACGCUCAUGCACGAAAGCGUGGGGAUCAAACAGG